Molecule: ribosomal RNA, 190 nt
Filed under: uncultured bacterium
Lineage: Bacteria
Description: partial 16S ribosomal RNA
Rfam family: Bacterial small subunit ribosomal RNA
Source: RNAcentral
GACUCCAUGAAGCUGGAUUCGCUAGUAAUCGCGCAUCAGCCACGGCGCGGUGAAUACGUUCCCGGGCCUUGUACACACCGCCCGUCAAGCCAUGAGAGUUGGCAAUACCCAACGUACGUGAUCUAACCCGCAAGGGAGGAAGCGUCCUAAGGUAGGGUCAGCGAUUGGGGUGAAGUCGUAACAAGGUAAC